AGGCUCUAGGUGGCACCAAAAGCCCGAAUAAUUGAUUUUGGGCCCAAAACAGGAGUGUAAAUGUUAAAAAAAAAAAAAAACAAGUUAUAGUCUUCAUUUUCAAAUUCCAUAAUAUAUAUAUAUAUUUUUUUCUUCUGAAAAUCCUGAAAGUUACGAUCCUAUUUUAACCAAUAGGUCAAAGGAAACCUUGAAUUCAAUGGAAUAAGUAACAUCCUAUGAACCAAAACUUUGCUAGCAGCAUUACAGCCGAUCCCAAUCCCCUUCCAAAACACGAGUACCCAAUUUUGUAAUGACCAAUCUUGUGCCAUUACACAACCCAUUUGCAUUAUCAAUAUUUGUCAACAUCAUAACAUGUAUACCAACUUUCAAUAACAAUUAAUGGUUAGGAGUCCACUCAAGAAUUCAGAAGUGUGCACAUCUUCUAAACCAUUAGAAUUAGACUCGUAGACAUAUGGUUUAUUUGAACUCAAAACAUGAUCUAGCUACCAAUCGAUUUAAAGAAAUGAUGUAUUGAUUUAUUAAAUGGAUAAGUAGCAAUUACACUCCUAACAUAGACACCCCUAUGGCGUUAGCCCCCUAUACUCAACAUUGGAUCAAUCAAGCCCCCGAUGUCCCAAUUUCGGUGCAAUUAAACCCUUCCCUAAACGGCCGUUUGACGACGUUCCUUAUUUUAUGUUUUUCGUAAGUGGUGGGACCCACCACAUUUAAUAUGCAAAUUCCACCAUUUCUUCUUCGCCAAACUCGUCGGAAAUGCCCUGCGGCCAUGCACUGCCUGUUCCCUUGCCCGGACGAGUGUGACGGGCGUCGUCCGUCCCCCGAGGCGCAAGGCGGUAAUGAAACCCCGCAUAUCCAAGUGUUGUUUUCAUAUCUGGAUGCUGGAAAUGUGGUCAGCUGGCCCUUGGAAGGAAUGAGGCCAGACAAGUUGAUUAUGACUUGAUGACCUAAACUCGUUUGUGCAUCAAGCUUUUAGGAUCUAGCCAAACAAUCCCCAGUUCCAUUUGGACUAUUGAUUAUGCUUGCUUCCUAGCUUCAUUUUUGUCUUAAAUUGACCUUCUCUAGGUAUACUGAGUUGAAAAAGAAUAUGAAAAAAGUGUGUGAUGCUUAAUUGGAUCUGCCUUUGUUUUGUCUGAGGAUGGAAAUUGUCUAAUUUAUUUCGGAUCAAUAAUUUCACAUGAAUUUUAUUUUAUGCUCUGACCUCAUUUUAAGUAGUGAAGAGAAGUGCUUUGCAUUUGUUGAUUGAUUAACAAUACAAAUCAUAGGAUGGCCCCAAGCUCACGUCUCAUCUCGAAUUUUCAGCGCAUCUUACUGCUAAUACUCGCCUCCGUUUCUGUCGUUGCAAUAAUAGUACAUGCUGAGAAGAUCUCCUACUUGAUCCGCCCUCUUCGGAAUACUCCUCAUUCAUUCCAUUUGCAAAGCUUUAAAAUUGUGUUGAAAUUAAAAAAUGAGGCAAAGUUCCUGCUUUAUUUUACUACAAUUUACCCCUUUUUGAGAGACUGCACUUUAUAUAAAGUUGAAAGUUUAUAUAUUUUCAUAUUUGUGUUAUUUAUCGAGUGAUUGAUGUAGAUUAAUUUAUUUUUUAAAAAAUAUUUUACACUUGCUUAUAUUAUAAUUCUAUUUCAUAUUUAUAUUUAUUUAUAUGUGGCGGUACUCGCCGUGCAUCGCACGGGCGAACGUACAUACUAGUUGAUUUAUAAUAGUUAGUUGUUUCGAUUUCAUAUUUGUAAGAAAAUUCAGGAAAAGAGUAAAAAGUUGGAGAAUUUAUUUGUGUGCAAAAUGAAAAAUAGUUAGUUAACUUGUGGUAGUAUAUGAAAAUGAAUAAAAGAAUAAUUGGUAUAUAUUAACAGACGUAAUUAACCCUAAUCAAUUAGGGAAGGCUAGCUACGUUAACUUUACAAGAGUGGUACGUACGAUGAAAAUAUAUCAGAAAAGCUUGCUUGCAAACUCGUUAAUGGCUUCGCCUUUGAGAGAAGAAUCCUUUGCCAGAUUUCUGAGGUCUGAUAAACUCCUUCCCAACUGCAAAGCCACCUUCAUUUCCAGCAUUUCUCCAUUCUCUCUUCGCUCAAAAUCAUCUUCGUCCAAGUUGGAUUGGAUGGAUUCUUGCAUGAGUUUAAAGAAUCCGGCAUUGCUUCUAUACAUCUCAAACACCAUUCCCACUUGGCCUCCAUGCUCGAAGGAGUUUGCGACGGUGGCCAAGGCACCGCCGCCAACGGCCAAGGCGGCAGCCCAACCACCGUGAGAAUGCAGCGAAGAGGCAACGGCGGCCAUAGCCGUGAGUAGAGGAGCGCUCUUGGCUAAUAAUUUGUUGAGGUUGAGUGCUUUUCCAGCCAACCUCAAGUAAUCUUCCUCGUCUUUGAGCUUCAUCACCUUUACUAUUUCUCUCAUUUCUUCCUCCAGCUUACCAUUCCAGCCGUUGUAGCCUUGAUUUGUAGUUUUGGGGUGGUGUUUUCUUGUGUUUUGGGGCCACCAAACCGCGGGCUCCAGAGUGGCCGGGAAUUUAUCGAGCAUGGCGCCGCCGAGGAGAGGGAGCGGAAAGGCCUUGUCGAGCGCCAAGACUUUUUCGAUGAUUUGGUUGACAUGAAUGGGAGUUGGAUUUCCAAUAGAUAGAAUGGUUUGGAUUUGAGUGUGGAGCUGUUUGAACAACCUGGUUGCGUUGCGUUGCUCUUCUGCAAGCUGAGAUGGUUGGAUCUUAUUGACAAUGGAAAGCAUCCCCGUGGCUGCUACGUACAUGGCUGUGGAAGAAAUGGUCAUGGCGGUGGCAUCGCCGUGGCUGGUGGAGGCGAUGCCGGCCAUGGUGGCGGCGGCGAGAGUGAGAGCGUUGAUAGAUGAGAGAAGAAGACUGUUCCACUCUUUUCUCUGAUCUCCAAUAUUCUUGUGCAUUUCAACUCUAUCUGCAACUGCUUCCAUAAUCGCGUGAAGCUUAGCUACCACUAAUGCAUCGCCAUCGUCUUUUUCGAUCAGAGCUUCCACAUUAGGGCUCAGCUGCUUUUCGAGUUGUUCAAAACUAGUAGUGUUGCCUCUCAGCUGUGGGAGACUUAUUUUCGUCACUCUUUUUGGGAGAUUGAUCAUUGCCGCCUUUGUACUUCCUCCUCUUCCAUGGGAACUCAUCUUUAUUGAUGAUGAUUGUAAUAUUAUGCUUGAUGAUUUCAUCGCUGCCAUUUUCUUUUUCUUUUUUCCCCCCUUUCUAAAGAUUGUGAAUGACUUAUGAAUUGGCUUGUCUGUUUUGGCGAUAUGUUUGGGUUUGUGUUUGUUGUGUAUAUUUCUGG
Molecule: long non-coding RNA, 3263 nt
Filed under: Salvia miltiorrhiza (redroot sage)
Lineage: Eukaryota; Viridiplantae; Streptophyta; Magnoliopsida; Lamiales; Lamiaceae
Description: long non-coding RNA (SMIL_LNC005086)
Source: RNAcentral